UACGUAGGGUGCGAGCGUUAAUCGGAAUUACUGGGCGUAAAGCGUGCGCAGGCGGUUUUGUAAGUCUGACGUGAAAUCCCCGGGCUUAACCUGGGAAUUGCGUUGGAGACUGCAAGGCUGGAGUCUGGCAGAGGGGGGUAGAAUUCCACGUGUAGCAGUGAAAUGCGUAGAGAUGUGGAGGAACACCGAUGGCGAAGGCAGCCCCCUGGGUCAAGAUUGACGCUCAUGCACGAAAGCGUGGGGAGCAAACAGG
RNAcentral lists this ribosomal RNA (253 nucleotides) under uncultured bacterium. RNAcentral describes it as "partial 16S ribosomal RNA". It matches the Rfam family "Bacterial small subunit ribosomal RNA", at positions 524 to 776 of the family's 1533-position model. The record is from RNAcentral.